Molecule: ribosomal RNA, 2798 nt
Filed under: Salmonella enterica subsp. enterica serovar Derby
Lineage: Bacteria; Pseudomonadati; Pseudomonadota; Gammaproteobacteria; Enterobacterales; Enterobacteriaceae
Description: bacterial LSU rRNA
Rfam family: Bacterial large subunit ribosomal RNA
Source: RNAcentral
UUAAGCGACUAAGCGUACACGGUGGAUGCCCUGGCAGUCAGAGGCGAUGAAGGGCGUGCUAAUCUGCGAUAAGCGCCGGUAAGGUGAUAUGAACCGUUAUAACCGGCGAUUUCCGAAUGGGGAAACCCAGUGUGAUUCGUCACACUAUCAUUAACUGAAUCCAUAGGUUAAUGAGGCGAACCGGGGGAACUGAAACAUCUAAGUACCCCGAGGAAAAGAAAUCAACCGAGAUUCCCCCAGUAGCGGCGAGCGAACGGGGAGGAGCCCAGAGCCUGAAUCAGCAUGUGUGUUAGUGGAAGCGUCUGGAAAGGCGCGCGAUACAGGGUGACAGCCCCGUACACAAAAGCGCAUGUGCUGUGAGCUCGAUGAGUAGGGCGGGACACGUGGUAUCCUGUCUGAAUAUGGGGGGACCAUCCUCCAAGGCUAAAUACUCCUGACUGACCGAUAGUGAACCAGUACCGUGAGGGAAAGGCGAAAAGAACCCCGGCGAGGGGAGUGAAAAAGAACCUGAAACCGUGUACGUACAAGCAGUGGGAGCACAGGUUUACCUGUGUGACUGCGUACCUUUUGUAUAAUGGGUCAGCGACUUAUAUUCUGUAGCAAGGUUAACCGUAUAGGGGAGCCGCAGGGAAACCGAGUCUUAACCGGGCGUUAAGUUGCAGGGUAUAGACCCGAAACCCGGUGAUCUAGCCAUGGGCAGGUUGAAGGUUGGGUAACACUAACUGGAGGACCGAACCGACUAAUGUUGAAAAAUUAGCGGAUGACCUGUGGCUGGGGGUGAAAGGCCAAUCAAACCGGGAGAUAGCUGGUUCUCCCCGAAAGCUAUUUAGGUAGCGCCUCGUGAAUUCAUCUCCGGGGGUAGAGCACUGUUUCGGCUAGGGGGCCAUCCCGGCUUACCAACCCGAUGCAAACUGCGAAUACCGGAGAAUGUUAUCACGGGAGACACACGGCGGGUGCUAACGUCCGUCGUGAAGAGGGAAACAACCCAGACCGCCAGCUAAGGUCCCAAAGUCAUGGUUAAGUGGGAAACGAUGUGGGAAGGCCCAGACAGCCAGGAUGUUGGCUUAGAAGCAGCCAUCAUUUAAAGAAAGCGUAAUAGCUCACUGGUCGAGUCGGCCUGCGCGGAAGAUGUAACGGGGCUAAACCAUGCACCGAAGCUGCGGCAGCGACACUGUGUGUUGUUGGGUAGGGGAGCGUUCUGUAAGCCUGUGAAGGUGGCCUGUGAGGGUUGCUGGAGGUAUCAGAAGUGCGAAUGCUGACAUAAGUAACGAUAAAGCGGGUGAAAAGCCCGCUCGCCGGAAGACCAAGGGUUCCUGUCCAACGUUAAUCGGGGCAGGGUGAGUCGACCCCUAAGGCGAGGCCGAAAGGCGUAGUCGAUGGGAAACGGGUUAAUAUUCCCGUACUUGGUGUUACUGCGAAGGGGGGACGGAGAAGGCUAUGUUGGCCGGGCGACGGUUGUCCCGGUUUAAGCGUGUAGGUGUGUGUUCCAGGUAAAUCCGGUUCACUUUAACACUGAGGCGUGAUGACGAGGCACUACGGUGCUGAAGCAACAAAUGCCCUGCUUCCAGGAAAAGCCUCUAAGCAUCAGGUAACAUCAAAUCGUACCCCAAACCGACACAGGUGGUCAGGUAGAGAAUACCAAGGCGCUUGAGAGAACUCGGGUGAAGGAACUAGGCAAAAUGGUGCCGUAACUUCGGGAGAAGGCACGCUGACAUGUAGGUGAAGUGAUUUACUCAUGGAGCUGAAGUCAGUCGAAGAUACCAGCUGGCUGCAACUGUUUAUUAAAAACACAGCACUGUGCAAACACGAAAGUGGACGUAUACGGUGUGACGCCUGCCCGGUGCCGGAAGGUUAAUUGAUGGGGUCAGCGCAAGCGAAGCUCCUGAUCGAAGCCCCGGUAAACGGCGGCCGUAACUAUAACGGUCCUAAGGUAGCGAAAUUCCUUGUCGGGUAAGUUCCGACCUGCACGAAUGGCGUAAUGAUGGCCAGGCUGUCUCCACCCGAGACUCAGUGAAAUUGAACUCGCUGUGAAGAUGCAGUGUACCCGCGGCAAGACGGAAAGACCCCGUGAACCUUUACUAUAGCUUGACACUGAACAUUGAGCCUUGAUGUGUAGGAUAGGUGGGAGGCUUUGAAGUGUGGACGCCAGUCUGCAUGGAGCCGGCCUUGAAAUACCACCCUUUAAUGUUUGAUGUUCUAACGUGGACCCGUAAUCCGGGUUGCGGACAGUGUCUGGUGGGUAGUUUGACUGGGGCGGUCUCCUCCUAAAGAGUAACGGAGGAGCACGAAGGUUGGCUAAUCCUGGUCGGACAUCAGGAGGUUAGUGCAAUGGCAUAAGCCAGCUUGACUGCGAGCGUGACGGCGCGAGCAGGUGCGAAAGCAGGUCAUAGUGAUCCGGUGGUUCUGAAUGGAAGGGCCAUCGCUCAACGGAUAAAAGGUACUCCGGGGAUAACAGGCUGAUACCGCCCAAGAGUUCAUAUCGACGGCGGUGUUUGGCACCUCGAUGUCGGCUCAUCACAUCCUGGGGCUGAAGUAGGUCCCAAGGGUAUGGCUGUUCGCCAUUUAAAGUGGUACGCGAGCUGGGUUUAGAACGUCGUGAGACAGUUCGGUCCCUAUCUGCCGUGGGCGCUGGAGAACUGAGGGGGGCUGCUCCUAGUACGAGAGGACCGGAGUGGACGCAUCACUGGUGUUCGGGUUGUCAUGCCAAUGGCACUGCCCGGUAGCUAAAUGCGGAAGAGAUAAGUGCUGAAAGCAUCUAAGCACGAAACUUGCCCCGAGAUGAGUUCUCCCUGAGACUU